Molecule: non-coding RNA, 33 nt
Organism: Triticum aestivum (bread wheat)
Lineage: Eukaryota; Viridiplantae; Streptophyta; Magnoliopsida; Poales; Poaceae
Source: Rfam
GCCCUGAUCGGAAACCAGGACGGGACCAAGGAG